This 250-nucleotide ribosomal RNA is filed under the name uncultured prokaryote. RNAcentral describes it as "partial 16S ribosomal RNA". It matches the Rfam family "Bacterial small subunit ribosomal RNA", at positions 524 to 773 of the family's 1533-position model. The record is from RNAcentral.
UACGAAGGGGGCUAGCGUUGUUCGGAAUUACUGGGCGUAAAGCGCACGUAGGCGGAUUCUCAAGUCAGGGGUGAAAUCCCAGGGCUCAACCCUGGAACGGCCUCUGAUACUGUUGAUCUAGAGUGUGAGAGAGGUGAGUGGAAUUGCGAGUGUAGAGGUGAAAUUCGUAGAUAUUCGCAGGAACACCAGUGGCGAAGGCGGCUCACUGGCUCACAACUGACGCUGAGGUGCGAAAGCGUGGGGAGCAAAC